This 221-nucleotide long non-coding RNA is filed under the name Elaeis guineensis (African oil palm). Its description in RNAcentral is "long non-coding RNA (EGUI_LNC019608)". Lineage: Eukaryota; Viridiplantae; Streptophyta; Magnoliopsida; Arecales; Arecaceae. The record is from RNAcentral.
UGGGCAGACACUUGACAGCCGGGCAUUCUUACAAAUAAAACUUUAUUCAUUUUUCCUUGAGCACAACAUAUGAUUGCAUGAUUUGACACCAUGAAAUGCAAGAGAGAGGGUUAAUGGCGCGCGUGUUUGACAUGUUGCCUGUCGACCCAAGAAAAUAUUGACAUCGUGAAUCUUCACAAUUAAUUUGAGUAUCCAACGAAAUAUACUUAAUUUCACGAAGC